This 65-nucleotide transfer RNA is filed under the name Clymenella torquata (bamboo worm). Its description in RNAcentral is "tRNA-His". Lineage: Eukaryota; Metazoa; Annelida; Polychaeta; Maldanidae. The record is from RNAcentral.
GUUAAAAUAGUUUAAAAAAAACCCUGUGUUGUGACCACAAAAUUGUAUACCUAUUACUUUUAACC